Molecule: ribosomal RNA, 689 nt
Filed under: uncultured Ochrobactrum sp.
Lineage: Bacteria; Pseudomonadati; Pseudomonadota; Alphaproteobacteria; Hyphomicrobiales; Brucellaceae
Description: bacterial SSU rRNA
Rfam family: Bacterial small subunit ribosomal RNA
Source: RNAcentral
UGCAGUCGAGCGCCCCGCAGGGGAGCGGCAGACGGGUGAGUAACGCGUGGGAAUCUACCUUUUGCUACGGAAUAACUCAGGGAAACUUGUGCUAAUACCGUAUGUGCCCCCCUUUAAAAUUUCAGGAUACAUAAAAUGCCCUGGCAUUUUAUGGGGGGGAAAGAUUUAUCGGCAAAGGAUGAGCCCGCGUUGGAUUAGCUAGUUGGUGGGGUAAAGGCCCACCAAGGCGACGAUCCAUAGCUGGUCUGAGAGGAUGAUCAGCCACACUGGGACUGAGACACGGCCCAGACUCCUACGGGAGGCAGCAGUGGGGAAUAUUGGACAAUGGGCGCAAGCCUGAUCCAGCCAUGCCGCGUGAGUGAUGAAGGCCCUAGGGUUGUAAAGCUCUUUCACCGGUGAAGAUAAUGACGGUAACCGGAGAAGAAGCCCCGGCUAACUUCGUGCCAGCAGCCGCGGUAAUACGAAGGGGGCUAGCGUUGUUCGGAUUUACUGGGCGUAAAGCGCACGUAGGCGGACUUUUAAGUCAGGGGUGAAAUCCCAGAGCUCAACUCUGGAACUGCCUUUGAUACUGGAAGUCUUGAGUAUGGUAGAGGUGAGUGGAAUUCCGAGUGUAGAGGUGAAAUUCGUAGAUAUUCGGAGGAACACCAGUGGCGAAGGCGGCUCACUGGACCAUUACUGACGCUGAGGUG